Molecule: non-coding RNA, 114 nt
Filed under: Corynebacterium maris
Lineage: Bacteria; Bacillati; Actinomycetota; Actinomycetes; Mycobacteriales; Corynebacteriaceae
Also listed under: 1 other name
Description: TPP sequence
Rfam family: TPP riboswitch aptamer (THI element)
About the family: Vitamin B(1) in its active form thiamin pyrophosphate (TPP) is an essential coenzyme that is synthesised by coupling of pyrimidine and thiazole moieties in bacteria. The previously detected thiamin-regulatory element, thi box was extended, resulting in a new, highly conserved RNA secondary structure, the THI element, which is widely distributed in eubacteria and also occurs in some archaea.
Source: RNAcentral
AGACACACCCACGGGCGCCCGAGGCAUCGGGCUGAGAUCGCGCUGUAACCCGCGCGAGACACCGUUCGAACCUGUCCGGCUAGCACCGGCGAAGGAAGUGAGGGCAUGCCGCCA